AUGGCAAUGGGUGCUCGAGUACCAAAAGCAUCUCCACAAUUUGCUUGGAAGCAGCUCAUGUCAACGGGUUCUGCUGUAUCAAAAGCAUCUCUGCUUUUAAGUAGAGCUGCUUGUGCCGUUACCCUGACUGCCACUAGAUAUAAGUUAGUUCCUUACCUCGUCGCUUUUGUAGCUGUAAAGUUGAUGCUAGGUGAGAAGAGCUUUGCAGAUGGCGAGUACCUCCCAAUACGAGAGAAUAUUUACUCGCGAGCUCAGGACAGCCGUAUUUAUGUCACCACAUUGAUAUUCUCAGUAGUAGAGAUGGUUAUCAUAAUCCUCAGAUCAAUAUAUCUGGUCUUGUUUACUCCCAGUAUACUGAUGGCACCAUUUAAGGAUACUCUUGGCAGUAAGUAUAGGAAAACAUGGCUCCGUCUUGUGCAUCGUACUUUGGAGAAGGCAGGUCCUGCAUUUAUUAAAUGGGGCCAGUGGGUGGCGACAUGUCCUGAUCUAUUUGCAAACGACCUGUGUACCGAGUUGUCAAAGCUACACACAAAAGCACCAGCUCACAGCUAUGCAUAUACCAAGAAAACUGUUGAGAAGGCUUUUGGUCGAAAUAUAUCUGAAAUUUUUGAGAAAUUUGAAGAAGAACCUGUAGCAUCUGGAAGUGUUGCUCAAGUGCAUCGGGCUGCUUUGAAAUUCCGACAUCCUGGCCAAAAGACGCCAAAGAUUAUAACAGUCGCAGUUAAAGUAAGACAUCCUGGUGUAGGAGACUCAAUACGGAGAGAUUUCAGUAUAAUUAAUGCUGUAGCUAAAGCUUCAAGAUGUAUUCCAGCGUUAAAUUGGCUACGGCUAGAUGAGAGUGUGCAACAGUUUGCUGUCUUCAUGAUGUCUCAAGUUGACCUUGCAAGGGAAGCUGCUCAUUUGAGCCGGAUUAUCUACAACUUCCGCAGGUGGAAAGAUGUGUCAUUUUUGAAACCUCUUUAUCCAUUUGUUCAUCCUGCUGUCUUGGUCGAGACUUACGAGCUUGGGGAGAGUGGCUCACACUAUGUGGAUGACCACGAUGGAGAGGAACGAGUUAAAAGUGCUCUUGCACAUAUUGGCACUCAUGCACUCUUGAAAAUGCUACUGUUAGCAGAAUCGUCUCUGCAGCAGAGAAUUAAUUGA
RNAcentral lists this ribosomal RNA (1143 nucleotides) under Triticum aestivum (bread wheat). RNAcentral's name for it is "partial small subunit ribosomal RNA". The record is from RNAcentral. Lineage: Eukaryota; Viridiplantae; Streptophyta; Magnoliopsida; Poales; Poaceae.